GACGAACGCUGGCGGCGUGCUUAACACAUGCAAGUCGAACGGAAAGGCCCUGCUUUUGUGGGGUGCUCGAGUGGCGAACGGGUGAGUAACACGUGAGUAACCUGCCCUUGACUUUGGGAUAACUUCAGGAAACUGGGGCUAAUACCGGAUAGGAGCUCCUGCUGCAUGGUGGGGGUUGGAAAGUUUCGGCGGUUGGGGAUGGACUCGCGGCUUAUCAGCUUGUUGGUGGGGUAGUGGCUUACCAAGGCUUUGACGGGUAGCCGGCCUGAGAGGGUGACCGGCCACAUUGGGACUGAGAUACGGCCCAGACUCCUACGGGAGGCAGCAGUGGGGAAUAUUGCAAAUGGGCGGAAGCCUGAUGCAGCAACGCCGCGUGCGGGAUGACGGCCUUCGGGUUGUAAACCGCUUUCGCCUGUGACGAAGCGUGAGUGACGGUAAUGGGUAAAGAAGCACCGGCUAACUACGUG
Molecule: ribosomal RNA, 467 nt
Filed under: uncultured bacterium
Lineage: Bacteria
Description: partial 16S ribosomal RNA
Rfam family: Bacterial small subunit ribosomal RNA
Source: RNAcentral